AACGAACGCUGGCGGCAUGCCUAACACAUGCAAGUCGAACGAAGUCUUCGGACUUAGUGGCGCACGGGUGCGUAACGCGUGGGAAUCUGCCCUUGGGUGCGGAAUAACUUCUCGAAAGGGAUGCUAAUACCGCAUAAUGUCGUAAGACCAAAGAUUUAUCGCCCAAGGAUGAGCCCGCGUAAGAUUAGCUAGUUGGUGGGGUAAAAGCCUACCAAGGCGACGAUCUUUAGCUGGUCUGAGAGGAUGAUCAGCCACACUGGGACUGAGACACGGCCCAGACUCCUACGGGAGGCAGCAGUGGGGAAUAUUGGACAAUGGGCGAAAGCCUGAUCCAGCAAUGCCGCGUGAGUGAUGAAGGCCCUAGGGUUGUAAAGCUCUUUUACCCGAGAUGAUAAU
This 396-nucleotide ribosomal RNA is filed under the name uncultured bacterium. Its description in RNAcentral is "bacterial SSU rRNA". It matches the Rfam family "Bacterial small subunit ribosomal RNA", at positions 29 to 452 of the family's 1533-position model. The record is from RNAcentral.